Non-coding RNA from Musa acuminata subsp. malaccensis (wild Malaysian banana), 1035 nucleotides. The record is from RefSeq and is a predicted model, not a curated record. Lineage: Eukaryota; Viridiplantae; Streptophyta; Magnoliopsida; Zingiberales; Musaceae.
UUACUAUAUUGAGAUACCUAAUUGCUAGAUUGCUAGAGGAUCUAUCAUUUAUGCAUGGGAUUGUUCGUUGAGAAGAUUUUUUUGUUGCAUGUUGCAUGCAUUAGUUGAAACAAAUGAAUUUGCAGAAAACAACAAUGGGUUUGUUCCGAGUAAGAUGUGAUUUUGAUAUUUCGAGCUAUAGAAUAUGUUUCUUGUUAAAACCAGUCAACAAAUAGAUGUCUCGAAUGUGAUCGUCAACCAUAAGUAUAUCUGAUCUGUUUAGAACUUUAUUUAGUAAGAAGUAUUAGCAAUUUUUCUGCACUUUACAAGUCUCUUGACCUUUUUGAAUAUGCCUGCUAUGUCUGUCUGAUGUUCUAAUUUUUGAGUUAUUCCAACAAAGCUACCAUCAUGGAGUUCAAUGAUUCCAGAGUUUGAUGCUUCCUGCACAUGUUUUCCUAGAUAACAGUACAGACUGGAACAAGAGAUGGGAGCAUGACAGAAUUUGUUCUACGAAAAGAAAAAAAUUAUUUCUUGAACUCAUAGAGGUUUUUUAUCCUACUGACUCCCUAAGAUUUAUCGACGGCCUGUGCUAGUGAUGCUGCUGGUGCUUGUUAUAUGGGGAAUAAUCUGGAGAAUCAACCAGCAAAGAUGCUAGCUUUGUGAGGAAAUAAUCUUCAGAACAGAUGCCAUUUAGCCUCAUCAACCAAAGCUUUUCAUUUUCAGUUGAUGAGAUAUCAUCUACAACCUACAAAACAAAAGCUUGGGAAAGAUGCAUCAAAUUACAUAGAAAUCCAUCUGGUCCAUAUGGGUUUAGCAUGUCUCUCCCUCCUAUGACUUUGGUCUUGUUGCUCUUUGAUGCCUCACAGUAUCUCAAACAAUCUGGUAAAGAAGCAUUAUGAUGUUGCAUCAACUUGGGGAAAGAUAGGCUGUGGAAGAAUCAAAGGUUCAGUGUAUUAAGUUUGGUCUCGAUGCACUUUGUUAUGUGACACAUCUGACGGAAUCUAGGAAAGAAACAUCAUGUUGAGUCUCGUCGUCCUGUGAAAGGUUCAUUGCCGG